Molecule: long non-coding RNA, 6125 nt
Organism: Triticum urartu
Lineage: Eukaryota; Viridiplantae; Streptophyta; Magnoliopsida; Poales; Poaceae
Source: RefSeq, a predicted model, not a curated record
AACCGCAAAAAAAAAAAACACUCCUGCCGAUCCCUCGAGGGCACAGGACGAUCCUCUCGAUCCACGAUGCGACCUCUCCCUCUGCUCGCGCUCCGGCACCGCCCCCAUCUCCCACUCCGGCGCCGCCCCUACAGCUCCGCUGGCCCGACCCCUUCUUCGGGCGCGUCGGCAGGAGCAGAUCCACCUCUCCACUCCAUAUCGCGACAGCGCUCCAGACCCCCCACCCCCACGCCCGGCCGCUGCUAGGGUAUCUUACCCUCGCUGCCCCGCCGCAACCUCUCCUUGCUUUCCUCCACCCCCGCCCCACUGUUCGCCCUCUCAUGUUUCGAUCUGGAAAGCGGGAGAGGAUGAGCUGAUCUCAAAAUACGGGUGCCGAGAUGGAUUUGGAUCUCAAGGUGGGGAGGCCAACGUAGCCGCCCCUAGCGCGUCGAGCUCUGCAGGUACUCCUGGUGUGCGUGGGUAGGAAGGUACCUGCAGUAGAUGGCCUUCUUCAUUGUUUGCCCCCUGUCUGCCUCCCUGCACCGAGAUCCAUCUGCUCCGGGCCAUGACUGAGAACCAGCGAUGCUGCCAAGUAAUUUCUAAAACACCUGGUCCAGAUUGAUUUGUCGAGGGUUAAAUUUCUCUGAUUAUUCAAAGGAGCGCAGGGGCAUCAUGUAUCAGUGAGAAACUUCAGCGAGGAGCACGCAGUGCAGGAUGCAGACGUCGCAAUUGCACAUGGUUCAUGUAUUGCUAGAUCGACAACAAGUCCCUCCCGUCAGCCUACCUUUACGACAUUACAAGGAGUCAAGUUGAACCUGAUGUAUUAGUGAUGACAUUGCAAUCCAGAACCUAGAUCGCCACUUUUGAACCUAACAUUGAUCAGGCUUGAAUUUGCCAUGGCUGUAAAUCGCCACUCUGGAACUUCAAUUUUGAGGAGUUAUUUUUCUGCACCCACACCUUGAGGCUGUUGUUCGUCCGCCUCUUGACUUCGUAGUGACCAGCAUUCAUUCUACAGGUGAACGGACUUCAAUUCAAGGAGUUAUUUUUCUGUGCCCAGCAAGUGCCAGCUUCAUUCAAUUUGAGUAAGUAGGAGUGGAGAUCAAAGGGUUGUGCGGUCCGUCGAGGGUCGUAGGGGAGAAAUAUUGGAGCCCCCUGCUGUACCGCGUUGCUGCCGCACCGGGAGGGCGUGAAGAUAAAGUUUCAGGGCCGCAGCUGGAGAGAGUGGCGACGCCCAAAUAAUCACGUGUUGAAUGCUAAAUGUAACACUUCAUUUUUUAUGUUCAUAUAACCAACCAAUGCAAAUUGAGAUGGACUUCUUGAACUAUGUACUCCUGAUGAUUUUUCAUUGCUAUGUUUCCCAGUUGAGUUUUGGACCCUUGUGAUUUUAUUUUUCUUUCAGCUAGGCGCCUACAGAUCAACAACAUGCAUGCAUCCGCAGCUACAUUACAUUUGUAAUUUUCAGGGAGAUCUUCUUUUUUCAUUAAUUCUCAUGGAGAUCAAAUUAUGUGAUAUUGUGCUAUUGGCAGAGACAUUGCAAUCUUAUAUUUGCCCAAAAAUUAGCAAGGUGCGUUCUCUAUUCCCCUCUAUUUUUCAAGUUAAUGCCUAAUAUCCCACCACUUUACAUUUUCUAUCUGCUGAAUCAUUCAUCUGCUCAAUCAAGAAGCACCUUCCUGUUAUUUUGGGCAAUCUGAAUCGGCCAUCUGUCUAUUAUGGCUGCACAUUAAUGUUUGCUACAUAUGUUAUAUGUAGAUUGGUUUACAUGAAUACAGAGUAGCACUACAUGUAUAUUGAUGGAGAAACUAUUGUUCAGCUAUGCAUUUGAAGUGUAGGCUAUUAUUCUCAUAUUUUUGGCUUCGAUUCUCAAGUGCGAGGAUUACUUCUCUACUAAUGAUAUUUGGUCGUUUGUCCAAGUUUAAAUGUGUAGGCUACAAUAUGUAUGUUUUGCCAUUGUAAAAGUUAUCUGUCACAAAAAACUAAAAACACAUGGUUUCUUAGUUGCCAGUCUAUAUCUCAAAUGCUUUUUGAUUUUUACGUUUUGAUAAAUGCAUUGUCGACGAUAAUUAUUCUUUCUAAGUAACCUCCUUAAUUUUUAAGCUAACAAGGCAGAAAAUGUCUACUGUUCAGGAUAAACCAGAAAUUGCGACAAAGAGUUGGUAAGUGCUUUCACAACUGCUACAGUUCUGAACCAAUGUUGUGUUCUACAGUAUUAUAUUCUUGGAAAAGAAUUCCGUCAUUUAUUUAUUUCUUUGUUAUUGAUGUAAUGUUCAACUGAUUAUAGAAAUGGUUUUUUUAUGUUGACUACAAUCAUGAAUGAAGGAAAAUGUUUAUGAUAAUGUACUGCAAAUUGGCUUCUUGCUUGAUCAUCCUAACCAAGAAGACUUUGAUAGCGCCAUUGGCUUUUUAUAUGUGCCAAUAAAAUUAGCAGGCCGAUGCAGCUCCGGGCUAUUGAUAAUGGAGUUUCAGGAUCCUUCCUCUGAGCACCCACUCACGGAAGAAUCAGCAGCGCGCCACGCAGAUGGAACCUGACCGAGAUCACGGGAUGCUUCCUUACAGGGCUCACCAAGAUUGAUAUUCUGAACUUUUUUGUAAACAAAGUGAAGAGUGGGACAUGAUCUACACUUGUGCUAAUAUAAAAUAUACAGUACUUGUGUAGGUGCAGGUUUUGUUUUAACAUUCCAAUUGUUGUUUAUCCUUUUGUCGCUGAAAAUUCUUUACUAAUGAUGACAUUCAUUUUAUUUCUUCUAGAUGUAUCUCGAUCCACUAUGUCCAAUCGUAAGGUGAAAAUGGCGGCACAACAGCCCGGAGGAGACGGCGGUGAGCCCCCCUCCUCCAACUGAGCAAUCCACCAGGCGGCGGCACGAACGACCUUCAUCUCUAGAUGCUUCCCUGCACACCAAUGAGAUUCACGCCGAUAAUCUUGACUCCUGACCAAUGUCCUUCAGGCCUGAAGUCCCUGUAGUACCCAAGGUCGAGUGAUCACUGCUGCGCCUCGCUGUGUCCUGACUCCUGACUGAUGUCCUUCAGCCUCCGGUAGCUCAUUCACUUUUAGUGUUCCAUCUCCUUCUGUCAAGGUUUAAUGUUCUUGUACUAUUUUUCUGAGACAUGGUCACAGUUUCUUUUUGCAUAAUUUUUUUAAAGAAAUCAAAAAUAUUGUUAUGUAAUGUUUAGUAUCUCUUUGUACCUCUGAUUUAUGCACCAAACUAGAGGGGACCAUGAAGGCAUGGAUGUUCAAUAUUUUUUCCAAUAAUAUAUGGUGAAAAACAAUUUGAUUUUCGUAUACUUGUGUCUUUCAUGUUCACUUGGUCCAUUAGUUUAUUUUUUCUUGAACUUCUAUUUGGAAGGACGCAAAUUGAUCAGAUGUAACCAUCUCCACAUCUCAGUGCCAGACUAUUGUUACAUUGGCACAUAUUAUUCUGAUAUGUAAUAUUCUGAAUAAUAAUUUGAUUAUGUCCAAGUGAACAGUAGAAGAAUUAUCUGUCAGUGCAUAGAGUAUUUUCGACUUUCACCAUCGAGUCUUUGUAGGUAAGUUGUAUUUGUUUAAUCUACUGACACCUGCAUAUUUGAUAUGAAAUGCAGUAAGGGCCACAACUAAUUGAUGUUCUCAUAAUGCUAUCAUAAUGGUAUGCUUUCUCAUCUGUACUGGUAAUUGUUCAGACAUAAAUGCAUUAUGGUCAUGGGAGAACAAUACUCGUAUGAAUUGAUUACCCUCCUGGUGAGUAAUAUUUUAUUCUAAGUAUUCAGUUGCCUGCAAAAUAAUUCUGUAAUAGACAUCUAACUGCAUGUUGUUGUGUGACCUGCAUCUAAACUGAGAACAGAAACAACAAACUGCUUGAAACUCGGCGUCUUUAUAUUUGCCCUCAUUUGUUGAGGUUCAGUUUCACAAAUUAGACACACUAUGGACCUGGUAGCGUUUUUCUUUUAGUUUAGGCAUCCAUACAACCUGGAGAAACUGCGUCAUUUGAGCACAAGAACAUCUAAGGUCUAAACAGAUGUACUGUUGAUUCUGCUACAUUCAGCAACCUGAUGAACGCCUCAAGGUAAUGAAUGUUUUUUAGGAGCCAUCUUGUUUCUUUAUUUUGGUUAUUUGACUGAUGCUAGACCUUGGUCACUUGAUGACAAACACACACACAUGCACACACGCACACGCGCGCAGUACUUGUAGGCGAGUUCAGCAUGACAUUCCUGAUCAUAUGUUGGUUUGUGCAUUUCGUUAUUAGUUAGACUACCAUAUCCCAAGUGUAUAUUUGUAAUUGCCGAAACAAGUAUAGAAAUGCUCUGCGUCAGCAUCCAAAAGGAGUUUUACAGUCUAUUACAUUUGCCACUCAGAAAAACUAAAAAAUUUCACUACAAGACCGUCCAAUAUUUUUGAAUUAGUGACUGUAAGUAAACAUUUGGGCUGAUGUUGUUAUUUAUAUAAGUAUGACCAAGUUAUUCAUCUUGGCCCCUGGAACAAUUGAACCAAGAACAAGAACCUUACGAAGUUGUUAUUAUUAUGCUACACGAGUACAAUAUUUCUUUAGCUUAUACUAUACUGUUGUGACAAUUUUUUGACUCCCAUUGCAACGGACGGUUAUCCUUAUAUAUUUUCACAAUCUUCAGAUUUGGAGGGUGAGAUGCUACAGCAGUACAGCUUCAAGCUAUCUUGCUUCUUUGUGAGGGAACCAAUCAACUAACCGAAUGAAACAAUUUCAGCAUUCCAUUUCUUUAGGACAAUUGCAGGAAGGAAGUCUAAAAUUGAUGCACCAGAGCAGCUUGAUGCUUUUCCUAAUCUUGAUGUACCUAUCCCUUUCUUUAGGACAAUUACAGCAAGAAAGUAGGAGGAAGAAGAAAUGCAGGCGACCUCAUGAAAGCCAAUAACAAAGAUCCACAGAAGUGAGAGGAGGAUUGCAAGUACUACUUUGUAACAGUUCCAAAGAACUGACCGUGCUCUGAAUUUAAGCCUAUCUAAAGCAAAAAAUGAAUGUUAGAUCUCCUGUAACAUGGUGAGGGCACUCAAGUCCUGAGCUUGCUACGUAAAAUUAUUUGCCACUUAUAUUUUGGAUUUAAAAGUGUGAAGUAUACAUAUACUAUUUUCAAUAUCUGACUCUUUUUAUAUAUCUAAUGGAAAUUAAGUGAUGGCAUGGUAUGCAGACAUGAACUAGGGUCAUUGCUCUGUUCCUAAGAUACAAUGGGUUGUUUAUUCAUUCAAAUUGCAUCUACCAGUGAUGGUUCCAGUUUUUGUGUCCCAUCUCCUUUUGGAGGCCUACUUCAUAUUCUAAUUUGAAUACUGUCCAUUCAUGCUUUUAGGAAGCGGAUGAAAUGCUAAGAUGGUUUAAAUAUUGAACUGAGAAAAUAUAGGUUUGAGAUUCUUUUUGCUGAAAUAUAUUUGCAAUGUAGAAGGAUUCAUUAAAUAAAUACCUAAUUAGAAUAUGCAGGGUUUACAUAUAUUUUGCAAAUCGGAGGACACUCUCUCUGCCUUUAGAUGUAGGGUUAUUAGGUUAAUUUUCUUGCAAGGAAAAAUAUGAUCUUCAACGCAGGAAGGCAUGGAUUCAGUGGCAAAAACUUCGAUUAGGAUGUGGCCCUCUAGGUAGGAAGGCAUGGUUCAACGGCAAAAAAUUUGGUCGGGAUGCAGCUCUUUAGGCAAGAUGGCAUAGAUCCACAGCAAGAACAUCAAUCAAGCAAGAACAUCAAUCAGGAUGGAUUCAACCAGUGUGCUAGAUCGUUGGAUGACAUAAUACAGUUAUGAUGUGGGUCGAAGGUGGUACUCUAGCUCCAACCAAACUCCGGCUCAUCCGACCUCCAGUUUAGGUUCACUAUUCAUCAAUUUUAGUGCUACGUAUUCCUAUUUGGAUUAUACUUGGUGCAUAAAAUUAAUGAAUCAGGAAAUUAUUUUUUUUUGUUUGAUAGGGCCUUAGUCUAUUUGUAAUCAGAUAUAACCAUCUGAUCCAUGAUUGUUCUUGGGCAUCAUAUUUCAAAAUAUUCUUUUUUUUGGAUUUUGUAAAGGUUGUAGAUAACAAGCCGGUGGGAGCUAAUGGUUCAGUUAGACCCUGCAUUUUCUUGACUUUUUUCCUGUCAGGUAAAUAAAUUACCAUGGUACUUUUCUAAUGCGAUUUGUAAAGUUUUGCCAAUCCGGUGAGCAUAUGAGACUGGAAUAUUGGGUCCACUCU